AACAAACGCUGGCGGCGUGCCUAAUACAUGCAAGUCGAACGGGGAAAGUAGCAAUACGAGUACUAGUGGCGCACGGGUGAGGAAUACAUGGGUAAUCUGCCCUCGAGCUCGGGAUAACCAGUCGAAAGACUGGCUAAUACCGGAUAUGACCACAAGAUCUGAGGAUCAAGGGGUAAAAGGUUUUUCGCUUGAGGAUGAGCCCAUGUGGGAUUAGCUAGUUGGUGUAGGUAACGGCUCACCAAGGCGACGAUCCCUAACUGGUCUUAGAGGAUGAUCAGUCACACUGGAACUGAGACACGGUCCAGACUCCUACGGGAGGCAGCAGUAGGGAAUAUUGCACAAUGGAGGAAACUCUGAUGCAGCGACGCCGCGUGAGUGAUGAAGGCCUUCGGGUCGUAAAGCUCUGUCGUAUGGGACUAACAAAAUGAAGGUACCAUGCAAGAAAGGAUCGGCUAAC
RNAcentral lists this ribosomal RNA (457 nucleotides) under uncultured bacterium. Its description in RNAcentral is "bacterial SSU rRNA". It matches the Rfam family "Bacterial small subunit ribosomal RNA", at positions 29 to 501 of the family's 1533-position model. The record is from RNAcentral.